CCACACUGACCCCUCGGUCACACUGACUCCUCGGCCACACUGACCCCUCGGCCACACUGACCCAUCUGCUGUGCUGACCCCUUGACCACCCUUUGGCUCCUCAGCCAUGCCAGCCCUUUGGCCAUGCUGAGCCUUCAGCUACACUGACCCCUUGGCCACACUGACCCCUAGGUCACGCUGACCCCUCGGCCACACUGACCCCUCAGCCACACCAGUCCAUCGGCUGUGCCAAGUCCUUGACCACGCCUCAGCCCUCUGGCCAUGCCAGUCCCUCGGCCGUGCCGACCCCUUGACCUUCAGCUCUUUGGCCAUGCCAACCCAUCGGCCUUGACCCCCUCUUGGCCCUUUGGCCACGCCAACCCCUUGGUCUUGACCAACCCUUGGCCGUGCCAACCCCUUGACCAGCCCUUGGGCCUUUGGCUACGCCAAGCCCUCGGCCACACCAACCCCUUGGUCUUGACCACCUCUUGGCCGUGCCAAACCAUCGGCUGUGCCGAGCGCUUGACCACCCCUUUGGGCCUUUGGCCACGCCAACCCAUCGGCCGUGCCGAGCCCUUGACCGCCCUUUUGGGCCUUUGGCCAUGCCAACCCAUCGGCCAUGCUGACCCUUUGACCACCCCUUGGGCCUUUGGCCACGCCAACCCAUCGGCCAUGCUGACCCUUU
RNAcentral lists this long non-coding RNA (664 nucleotides) under Cyanistes caeruleus (blue tit). RNAcentral's name for it is "lncRNA (ENSCCEG00000005922.1)". Lineage: Eukaryota; Metazoa; Chordata; Aves; Passeriformes; Paridae. The record is from RNAcentral.